GUGCCAGCAGCCGCGGUAAUACAGAGGGGGCGAGCGUUGUUCGGAAUUACUGGGCGUAAAGGGCGCGUAGGCGGCCAACUAAGUCAGACGUGAAAUCCCUCGGCUCAACCGGGGAACUGCGUCUGAUACUGGAUGGCUUGAAUUCGGGAGAGGGAUGCGGAAUUCCAGGUGUAGCGGUGAAAUGCGUAGAUAUCUGGAGGAACACCGGUGGCGAAGGCGGCAUCCUGGACCGAGAUUGACGCUGAUGCGCGAAAGCCAGGGGAGCAAACGGGAUUAGAUACCCCCGUAGUCC
This 292-nucleotide ribosomal RNA is filed under the name uncultured bacterium. RNAcentral describes it as "partial 16S ribosomal RNA". It matches the Rfam family "Bacterial small subunit ribosomal RNA", at positions 505 to 796 of the family's 1533-position model. The record is from RNAcentral.